UGGUUACCAAAAAAAUAAAGAUAUUGAAUGUAGAGUGCAUUGACAAUUAAAAAUGAUACAUACGUUGUUAAUGGAACAUAUAAUCAUGACAAACCCAUACUACAUCUCAGUGAAAUUAAAAAAAAAAUCAAAAUAUCAGAAACAUUUGAAAGUACCAGAAUGAUGAAAAAUAAAAAAGAGAAUAAUUUCGAAACAUUUCCAAUUGUGUACACUAUCAUGGAAGGACGUUGCUAAUCAGAAGAUUACCGUGGUAUGUUGAUGUAUUGAAAAAAGUGAUAAACUAUAAAAAUAACCUGAUGUUGUAACAAAAGAUUUUGAAAAAGCAAAACUGCAAAUCAAAACAAGCAAUCAAAACAAUUUUCCCCCAUGUAAAAACUAUUGGCAUACUUCUUUCAUUACAGCCAGACACUAAAUGAUUUCAAGCCCGGUUUAUUUUCUAUAUUCAAAGAAAUUGACAGAACAAAUAACGCGUCAGAGAGACACAAUCGCGAGCUGAAACAAAGUCUCCAAAAGCAUUCAAGAAUUAUAACAUUUUUAGAUAACCUAACUGAACAUCAAAAAGACAUCAAAAGUAUGAUGAAAUAUCCAAAAACAAGAUUACAACCUAAAACAAAAAGAAGCCAAA
Long non-coding RNA from Atta colombica, 625 nucleotides. RefSeq lists it as uncharacterized. The transcript has 4 exons. NCBI's taxonomy places the organism in Eukaryota, Metazoa, Arthropoda, Insecta, Hymenoptera, Formicidae. The record is from RefSeq and is a predicted model, not a curated record.